GGCCCCGCCCCGAGGUGCUGGUUGAGAAAGGGCGCUCAACACUAGAGCGCAUCCCUGGAGGCCGCUGGAAACUUAGGGAGAGAAAGAAAACAGGAGCGAGGAGCAGUUUCUGUAAGAGGCCCUGAGAAAUUCGCUUCUCUCACGCUAAACCCUAUGUUAUUCACCUUCUUGCCUUACCUCUCUGCAUCGUAGCCCUGCUGACAUCACCUGUGCCUCUAGAAGAAGAGAAUGAGUGGUUUCUAGAACCAGGAAUCAAUGGCUACAGGGAUGGGGCCAUUGGAUAGAAGCUGUCAGCAGAAGGACGCAGGACACUCCCAGUGACCUGAAGGGAGGGAACCAGGAAAAACAGCUCCAAUGGUCUUUCGCCAUUCACCUUGAAUGCUGAAACCUCGUGUGCUUCUUCUGGAGUGAGGCAUGUAGAGGGGCUGCCAGCUAGAGAACAGAAUCCUCAAGUGCUCCAGGAGCAACUGACAUGCCUGCACCCGGAGCCACCUCCAUCUCACCCCGACUCCCUGGCACCAGGAGACUCUGAAAGUAAAAAAUCAAGAGAGUCCACAAAGAUUACCUUUCUGGUCAAUACUCUCCAUCACAUCAAGGAAGGAGAUGACCAUUCCCCUGCAGCUGCCAGCUUCACAAGGAAGUUGACAAUUGAAGCGGAUCAUGGAGAAGGUAAUAAUAACCAUAGCCACAAGCCUUUGUACCCCAUUACGAUAAACCAGGCAUAUUCAGAUGCCUUAUUCAACACACUUAAGGGCAGGUAUUAUUAUCUGCAUUUUACAGGAGAGCAAAUUGGGGAACAGUAAAGGAUGCUCAAGAUAGCAGGAAGGUUUGAAACAAAGUAAGGUGCAAAGGUGAAAAUAUUCUGCUGAACAAUUUUUUUUAAACUCCAGGCAAGUUAGAAGUGUGUAGUGGGGAGAGGAGAUUGCAGACUAUACUUUGGGAGUCUUGGAUAAUGGGGACUGACUUAUUUUUUACUCCCUCCUCUUUCUCCACUGGAUUUUAUGACCUAAUUUUGGGGUCACAAAAUAUCAGGCUCAAUUGUAGGUUCACCAUCCUGUGCUUUGCCAUCAAAUGGUGGGAUUUCUCAUGAGUGCCACCCCUAGAAUCUCAUUUCCUUUGUACUUUAUCUCUAGAAAAUCCAGCCCUCUAUGUGGGGCAAUUUUCCUUAUGUUAUAUCUGCUCAAACAACCUCAUUUCUUUUUUUUUACCCCAAGAAACACAUCUCUUUUUAUACAUAUUCACUCAUUAGCAUGAUUAUUUGAUUAAAAAGAAUCAUUAAAUAAGUAAAUGAGUAGCUAUGUCACAACUAAGUAAAAUCUUACUUGAAAAAUAAUUUUCUUUCUAUUCUAGAAUAGACUUCUUCUUUUUCAUAGCAAAAUUUUCCCUCACUAAUAUUUGAAAGGCUUCCUAACUUCUAAGGUUAUACAUAAAUUCACCUGUAUUUUCCUGCUAAUAGCUUGAAAAUGGUGAUGAUAUGGUGGUGAUGGGGAAGGAAAAUCGGCUCAGAUGGAGGGCUGGAUGGUGGUGAUGAUGAGACGGAUGACGAUGACGUUGAUGAAGAUGAUGAUGGUGAAGAAGAUGGAAGUGGUGGUGAUGAUGGUGGUGAUGAUGAAGGUGAAGAUGAUGAUGAUGGUACCCAACACCUUUUGAGCUCUGGCUAUAAGUGCAGCCAAGUGGUCCCUUCAAUUUCCACAACACCUCUGCAAUAUAAGUAGUGUUGUUAGUUCCAUUUUUCUUUUUUUUUUUUUGGAAAAAGAAUUAAGGCUUAUAUUUUUUAAGGACCUGGAUCAAGGUCACCAGGCCAGCUGAGUCAUGGAGCCAGGAUCCUGAGACAAUGUGACUCCAAAGGCUAGGAUGCUACUACAUUCUACUUAUUUAUUUUUCAAAUCAUCUCUCAAAGGAAUGAGUAUGAUUUCCAUAAUUAAAUGCCCCCUAGCCUCAUCCCUCCUUCUGUGGGCUUUAGUCCCUUCUCCUCCAAUGUCAUUCCCAGUUCUCAAGUUGAGUUCCUAUGAGAAACAGCAGGGUUGCUGUCCUUUCCCUUGCUUAUAUCCCGUGCAAACAGAUUCUAUUCACAGGGGCUUGCAAAGGACCCUUUUAUAUCAGGCAGUGUUGAAAGCAACAAUGAAAAACACUUUUAGCUUCAACUUCCCAUAUCUUCCAAUGGAAGUAUUUGCUUUCCAGAAAUGCCCAGCAUAACCUAGAGCAAUGGAUUUCUGCGUGGUCUCUGGGCCAGCAGCAUCUGUUUGAAAUACAAAUUCUCAGGUCCUAGACCCAUUGCCUCAGAAACUCUAGGGUCUUUGCUUUCCCAAGCCUUCUGAUGAUUCUGAUAUUGGUAACCAUUGACGUAUAAUACCUUCUUCGUAAGCCAGUUAUUAAAAUAAUAGUAAGACAGAAAGCAUGCUCUAGGUUGUUCUUUUACAGAAGCAUCUGUAAGCAAGUUCAAAAGAAGGGGCAACCUCUGGAGAGUCAGGCACUAUGUUGGCCUCUGGUGCGCUGUUGUUUUCACCUGGGAUCUCCUGUGUGUGUUGGGAGUGAAUCCUUGCAUUUAUCAGACUAAAUUAAAAUGAGCACUAUAAUGAAUUCCUUGCACACACAGACAUGACAUUUGCAGGCAAGUCACUAAGUACACAUGUCCUGAUAAUGUUCCUUCAUUUCAAAUGGAUUUUCUUCUCAUUUAUCAUCUGCUGGAAAGAACUCUGGCUGAUGAGAACUAAGGCUGGCCAGGAAGGAGAAGGGGAAGGAGAACAAAGCAAAUUCAGGUGGUGUUAGUAACAGCCCCACUCAGCCAUAAAAAAGAACGAAAUAAUGCCAUUUGCAGCAAUAUGGAUGCAACUAGAGAUGAUUAUAGUAGGUGAAGCAAGUCAGAAAGAGAAAGACAAAUACCAUAUGAUAUCACUUAUGUGUGGAUAGGGCACAAGUGAACCUAUCUACGGAAUAGAAACAGGUCACGGAUGUAGAGGACAGACUGUGGUUGCCAAGGGGGAGGGGGAGGGUUAGGAUGGCCUGGGAGUUUGGGGUUAGUAGAUGCAAACUAUCCCAUUUAGAAUGGAUAAGCAAUGAGGUCCUGCUGUACAGCACAGGGAACUCUAUCCAGUCUUUUGGGAUAGAACAUGAUGGAAGAUAAUAUAUGAAAGGGAACAUAUAUGUAUAUAUGUAUGUAUGACUGGGUCACUUUGCUGUACAGCAGAAAUUGGCACAACAUUGUAAAUCAACUAUACUCUAAUAAAGAAUAAGUAGGAGCUCCCAUUGUGGCUCAGCCGGUUAAGAACCCAACAUAGUGUCAGUGAGGAUGUGGGUUCAAUCCGUGACCUCGAUCAGUGGGUUAAGGCUCAGAUCCAGCAUUGCCUAGCCCGGGAGUUUCCAUGUGCCAUAGAUGCAGCUAUUUUAAAAAAAGGAAAAAAUAAAAAUAAAAAA
RNAcentral lists this long non-coding RNA (3414 nucleotides) under Sus scrofa (pig). RNAcentral's name for it is "lncRNA (ENSSSCG00055001124.1)". Lineage: Eukaryota; Metazoa; Chordata; Mammalia; Artiodactyla; Suidae. The record is from RNAcentral.